Molecule: ribosomal RNA, 1324 nt
Filed under: uncultured bacterium
Lineage: Bacteria
Description: bacterial SSU rRNA
Rfam family: Bacterial small subunit ribosomal RNA
Source: RNAcentral
AGCGAACGCUGGCGGCAGGCUUAACACAUGCAAGUCGAGCGCCGUAGCAAUACGGAGCGGCAGACGGGUGAGUAACGCGUGGGAACGUACCUUCUGGUUCGGAAUAACUCAGGGAAACUUGAGCUAAUACCGGAUAAGCCCUUCGGGGGAAAGAUUUAUCGCCGGAAGAUCGGCCCGCGUAAGAUUAGCUAGUUGGUGAGGUAAUGGCUCACCAAGGCUACGAUCUUUAGCUGGUCUGAGAGGAUGAUCAGCCACAUUGGGACUGAGACACGGACCAGACUCCUACGGGAGGCAGCAGUGAGGAAUAUUGGUCAAUGGGCGCAAGCCUGAACCAGCCAUCCCGCGUGCAGGAAGACGGCCCUAUGGGUUGUAAACUGCUUUUCCAGGGAGAGAAACUUACGCACGUGUUGCGUGACUGACGGUACCCUGGGAAUAAGCAUCGGCUAACUCCGUGCCAGCAGCCGCGGUAAUACGGAGGAUGCAAGCGUUAUCCGGAUUCAUUGGGUUUAAAGGGUGCGUAGGCGGGCUAUUAAGUCAGUGGUGAAAUCCUGCAGCUUAACUGCAGAACUGCCGUUGAUACUGAUAGUCUUGAGUUUGGUUAAGGUAGGCGGAAUGUGUAAUGUAGCGGUGAAAUGCUUAGAUAUUACACAGAACACCAAUUGCGUAGGCAGCUUACUGAGCCGACACUGACGCUGAGGCACGAAAGCGUGGGGAUCAAACAGGAUUAGAUUCCCUGGUAGUCCACGCCGUAAACGAUGAUUACUCGCUGUUGGCGAUACACUGUCAGCGGCUAAGCAAAAGCAAUAAGUAAUCCACCUGGGGAGUACGGCCGCAAGGUUGAAACUCAAAGGAAUUGACGGGGGCCCGCACAAGCGGAGGAACAUGUGGUUUAAUUCGAUGAUACGCGAGGAACCUUACCUGGGCUUAAAUGUAGAGUGCAUUUUCUAGAGAUAGAAAUUCCCUUCGGGGCUUUCUGCAAGGUGCUGCAUGGUUGUCGUCAGCUCGUGCCGUGAGGUGUCGGGUUAAGUCCCAUAACGAGCGCAACCCUUAUCGUUAGUUGCCAGCUGGUAAAGCAGGGGACUCUAGCGAAACUGCCACCGUAAGGUGAGAGGAAGGUGGGGNNNACGUCAAAUCAGCACGGCCCUUAUGUCCAGGGCUACACACGUGUUACAAUGGCCGGUACAGAGGGCUGCUACCUGGUGACAGGAUGCUAAUCUCGAAAACCGGUCUCAGUUCGGAUCGAAGUCUGCAACUCGACUUCGUGAAGCCGGAUUCGCUAGUAAUCGCGCAUCAGCAACGGCGCGGUGAAUACGUUCCCGGGCCU